GGGAAGAGGACGAAAGCUCACACUGCUGCCCCAUGUCCGGCUGGUAGACGCGGUACAGGAGGAGGGCAGACGGAGCUCCAUAUAUCACUCAGUUAGGAACAGACUGUGGGUGUCUGAGCCCUCCCUGUGAGAGGAAGUGGUGGAGGAGGCCACGAACAGGCAAGCCCAGGCACGACAGGCCUCAGUUCAAAGCCCUGGACUCCUUGAAGCUCCAUUUCCUCUACCAUCCCCACAUCUGC
Molecule: long non-coding RNA, 239 nt
Organism: Megalops cyprinoides (Indo-Pacific tarpon)
Lineage: Eukaryota; Metazoa; Chordata; Actinopteri; Elopiformes; Megalopidae
Exons: 3
Source: RefSeq, a predicted model, not a curated record